Non-coding RNA from Acanthosepion pharaonis, 113 nucleotides. NCBI's taxonomy places the organism in Eukaryota, Metazoa, Mollusca, Cephalopoda, Sepiida, Sepiidae. The record is from the annotation of a GenBank genome assembly.
UUACGACCCUACCACGUUGAAACACCGGUUCCUGUACGAUCACUGAAGUUAAACAACGUCGAGCCUGGUCAGUACCAAGAUGGGUGACCGUUUGGGAAUACCAGGUGCUGUAA